This 253-nucleotide ribosomal RNA is filed under the name uncultured bacterium. Its description in RNAcentral is "partial 16S ribosomal RNA". It matches the Rfam family "Bacterial small subunit ribosomal RNA", at positions 524 to 776 of the family's 1533-position model. The record is from RNAcentral.
UACGUAGGGGGCAAGCGUUGUCCGGAAUUAUUGGGCGUAAAGAGCGUGUAGGCGGUCCGGUAAGUCAGCUGUGAAAGUCAAGGGCUCAACCCUUGAAUGCCGGUUGAUACUGUCGGGCUAGAGUCCGGAAGAGGCGAGUGGAAUUCCCGGUGUAGCGGUGAAAUGCGCAGAUAUCAGGAGGAACACCGGUGGCGAAGGCGGGUCUCUGGGCCGUAACUGACGCUGAGGAGCGAAAGCGUGGGGAGCGAACAGG